Molecule: unclassified non-coding RNA, 389 nt
Filed under: uncultured fungus
Lineage: Eukaryota; Fungi
Description: partial contains 5.8S ribosomal RNA and internal transcribed spacer 2
Rfam family: 5.8S ribosomal RNA (bases 1-134)
Source: RNAcentral
UGGCUCUCGCAUCGAUGAAGAACGCAGCGAAAUGCGAUAAGUAAUGUGAAUUGCAGAAUUCAGUGAAUCAUCGAAUCUUUGAACGCACCUUGCGCCCCUUGGCUAUUCCGAGGGGCAUGCCUGUUUGAGUAUCAUGAACACCUCAACUCUCAUGGUUUGCCGUGAUGAGCUUGGACUCUGGGGGUUUUGCUGGCCUGCAGUCGGCUCCCCUCAAAUGAAUCAGCUUCCCAGUGUUUGGUGGCAUCAUGGGUGUGAUAAAUAUCUACGCUCGUGGUUGUCUGCCGGGUAACCUUUGGUGACAAAGGUUUGCUGGAGCUCACAGACGUCUCUCCUCAGUGAGGACAGCUUUUUGAACGUUCGAUCUCAAAUCAGGUAGGACUACCCGCUGA